Non-coding RNA from Arachis ipaensis, 2784 nucleotides. The record is from RefSeq and is a predicted model, not a curated record. Lineage: Eukaryota; Viridiplantae; Streptophyta; Magnoliopsida; Fabales; Fabaceae.
ACUUUUCUAUUUCCCUCCAUCAUUAACAAUUCCCUUUCAUAUUCUUCUUUUCUUUUUUGUUGUUGUUUCUUUUUUUUUUUAAUUUCGAACAUAUCCUUAGAAUAUAUGUGCGAGUUAAAAUUGAAGACAGAUCGAAAAUAAAGGUAGAAUUUAGUUAUUGAUUCAUUUAGUGUUUCUUUAAUUUCUUUUUAUCCUGAAAAAUAUUUAUUUCGCAAAUACACCGUUAAAUCCUUCCAUCUUCAACACAAAACACAACCACCUACGAAAUUUUAAGGUGGAGGUUGGUGUUGGUGCAAUCGUUUUCGCUUCUUGAACUCAAGGUGUUCGACAAAAUGGGUAGCAGAGAAACUGCAAGUGCAAGUGUUGAUGAUGGUGGAACAAAACCAAUGAUGAUGGAAGGGUGGUUAUACCUCAUACAAUCCAACUGUGUGGGGCUUCAGUUCUUGAGAAAGCAUUACUUCGUGCUAAAGGGUCACCAUCUUCGAAGUUACAAGUACCUUCUUGCACUUUCUCGCAACAACAACAACCAUCAGCUUCUUCCUCUCAGAAGUGCUGUUCUUGACUCCACCAUUCGGGUCCUUGAUAAAGGCAGAGAAACCAUUAAAAUAGAAAAGUGUUUUUCAUGUUCACCCUUUACAGCAAGUCAGCACUUCCAAUCACAACAAUCAAUUAAAGAUAACUUCUUCACAUUUUCAUCUUUUUUUCCAUUCAUUUUUUUAAAAGCUAUCUAGACCAAGUGGAUCCACCAGCAUUGGGUUGGUUGAGUGGAUGCCAAAAUCUUCGAUGUUAGGCAGCAUAGGGUCUAAAGAAUGCAAAACCAAAAAGUUAAAUUGGGGAUUAGUCCAGUAAGUAGAGUGAACCUCAUCCACUGAAAAGCAUUUUUGUCUAAAUUUAGUUAUGAUCAGUUACAAUGACAUUGUUCAAUCCAAUUAGCUAUAAUUAGUAUGAUGGAUUUUUUUUAUAAGAAAAUGUGUAUAACCAUAGACAUACUCACAUCACUAUUGUCGUUCAUCUGAGUUCAUCUGGAGAGUUGACAAGAAGCAUCGGGCUUAGUCUGAAGGAAGGAGAUGUCAACUCUGAUAGUCAAAGGCAGGUAGUAGAUGAGAAUGCCCGACAUAGCUCAGAUGGAGUAGUAGUACAUCAAACACAAUCUGAGCAUGCAACCCUUGUUAGCCUAAAUGAUGCUGAUGAUGAGUUUUUUUAUGUUCCAGAACCAUCAGACAGUGAUGAGUUGGAAAAUGGAUGGAUGCCUGAUUGUAGUCACAAGAAGUCUCUGGUAAAAAGCUGUUUGAUAUUAUAGUCUAGAAAUUUAGCAUGUUCCUUUUUAUGACUCAUCAAAUGCUUACAAUAAGUAUAUUCACCAACACUCUCAAGUCAUGCUGUCCUCUGGCAUAUUUUAGUUAUAAGUCUAUAACCCUUAUAAUUCAUGUAGUGCACUUGUCUUCUUGUACUUUUAAUUGGAGAACUACACUAAACUUGGCAUUUUCCUCCUAUGGAUUUGAUCGUUUCAAGACUUCCGUCAAGUAAGUUGUCCACAGCUGCUAAUUUUGUGAAAAAAUUGCAUGAUCUUGCAGUUUAGAAGAAGGGUUAUGUGGACUUACACAAAAUGGUCAGAGAAGACAGUACCUUAUGGAUCAACUCUUCCAAAAGAUUUCUCUUGUACAUUACCUUGCAGCUGGGCAGAACCAGAUCCUUCCACUUUCCUGAUUCGUGGGGCAAAUUACCUCGAAGAUCGCCAGAAGGUUAAGGCAAAGGGAACCUUGAUGCAAAUGGUUGCUGCAGACUGGCUGAGAUCUGAUAAAAGAGAAGAUGAUCUUGGUGGCCGACCAGAGAGCAUUGUGCAGCAAAGGGUGGGCCCGAGUUCUUCUUCAUUUUAAACAUUCAGGUGCAACUACAUAUAACCUAGCACUAUAUUACAUGAUGACUACACCUGUGGAAGAUACCCCUUUGCUUGAGAGUUUUAUCAAGGGGUUCAUGGAUAGUAAAAUAAAGUGUGCGAAAGAAGGCAUGCUUAAUUGGUCAAGCAUUGAAAAUUAACUAUUUCCAAGGGAAGAACUAUUUGGAGACGACCUUAAAAUAAGUUGAAAGGAGCUUGGGGUUGAUGUUGGAUCAUUAACUGUUGCAAGAGGUGUUGUAAGUCUUGUCCUUGGAUACCUCAAUCAUCUAGUUAUUGAAAUGGCCUUUCUAAUACAGGGAAUACGCAGGAAGAGCUUCCGGAAGAGUUCCUUUCAGGGACACGCCGCCUUAACCAUCUAGAAUUCUAGAUGCUUCCAAAUCAGUUUCUUUGAAGCCUUGAUUUUCAAUGAGAUAUUUAAGUACCUUUGGUCUUAUGAAGGAGGUUGCCAUCUUGUAUAUAAAUUGAAACAAGGAGAGUUCUUUGGUGGCUCCAAUUCCUUUAAUUGAAUUCCAAAAGCCAUUAUUUUAUUCAAUCAAAGCAGUUUGUGAUGAUGUUUGGUACUAAUCUUUCAAAACAAUUGCAUAUCUUCCUUAGUUUUUGUUAGUAAUGUAAAUCACACAUGAAGCUCAUACAUAAAAAUAUUAUUCCAUUUUUACCCCCUAAGUUGUCUUAAGAAGAAUGUAUCCAAUUCAUAGUCAUAAACUACUUAAAGGUGGUACAAGGUAGAGGGAUUUCAACACCAUGACACAUGAAUCCAUAUUCCAAUUAUGCACAAUAUGUAUAUAUAUAUAUAAUGUAUGUAGGGGCUUGCUCCUUGAAUAAUACAAAUGCCCCCACAUUGUUUCGUUUGGCAAGCAAAACUAUAUGAAAUUCCUAAUUUUCGAGGC